UGAUCAUUGAAGUGAAUGCAGGUGAAGAAC
This 30-nucleotide non-coding RNA is filed under the name Rattus norvegicus (Norway rat). The record is from RNAcentral. Lineage: Eukaryota; Metazoa; Chordata; Mammalia; Rodentia; Muridae.